AAUUCAAUGAUGCUUUAAUUUUCUGACAUCUCUAAUGAACCUUUGUGAUUCAAACUUUUUAAUACAAUUAACUGAUGAC
Molecule: small nucleolar RNA, 79 nt
Organism: Drosophila elegans
Lineage: Eukaryota; Metazoa; Arthropoda; Insecta; Diptera; Drosophilidae
Product: small nucleolar RNA Me28S-Gm3255
Exons: 1
Source: RefSeq, a predicted model, not a curated record